GACAGAGGUGCCGAGCGUUAGGCGGAAUCACUGGGCUUAAAGCGUGUGUAGGCGGAGUGCUAAGUACCUUGUGAAAUCCCUCGGCUUAACCGGGGAACUGCGUCUGAUACUGGAUGGCUUGAGUUUGGGAGAGGGACGCGGAAUUCCAGGUGUAGCGGUGAAAUGCGUAGAUAUCUGGAGGAACACCGGUGGCGAAGGCGGCGUCCUGGACCAACACUGACACUGAUGAGCGAAAACCAGGGGAGCAAACGGG
RNAcentral lists this ribosomal RNA (253 nucleotides) under uncultured bacterium. RNAcentral describes it as "partial 16S ribosomal RNA". It matches the Rfam family "Bacterial small subunit ribosomal RNA", at positions 524 to 776 of the family's 1533-position model. The record is from RNAcentral.